UUNNAUCCUGGCUCAGAUUGAACGCUGGCGGCAGGCCUAACACAUGCAAGUCGAGCGGAUGAAAGGAGCUUGCUCCUGGAUUCAGCGGCGGACGGGUGAGUAAUGCCUAGGAAUCUGCCUGGUAGUGGGGGACAACGUUUCGAAAGGAACGCUAAUACCGCAUACGUCCUACGGGAGAAAGCAGGGGACCUUCGGGCCNUGCGCUAUCAGAUGAGCCUAGGUCGGAUUAGCUAGUUGGUGAGGUAAUGGCUCACCAAGGCGACGAUCCGUAACUGGUCUGAGAGGAUGAUCAGUCACACUGGAACUGAGACACGGUCCAGACUCCUACGGGAGGCAGCAGUGGGGAAUAUUGGACAAUGGGCGAAAGCCUGAUCCAGCCAUGCCGCGUGUGUGAAGAAGGUCUUCGGAUUGUAAAGCACUUUAAGUUGGGAGGAAGGGUUGUAGAUUAAUACUCUGCAAUUUUGACGUUACCGACAGAAUAAGCACCGGCUAACUCUGUGCCAGCAGCCGCGGUAAUACAGAGGGUGCAAGCGUUAAUCGGAAUUACUGGGCGUAAAGCGCGCGUAGGUGGUNUGUUAAGUUGGAUGUGAAAUCCCCGGGCUCAACCUGGGAACUGCAUCCAAAACUGGCAAGCUAGAGUAUGGUAGAGGGUGGUGGAAUUUCCUGUGUAGCGGUGAAAUGCGUAGAUAUAGGAAGGAACACCAGUGGCGAAGGCGACCACCUGGACNNA
RNAcentral lists this ribosomal RNA (730 nucleotides) under Pseudomonas koreensis. Its description in RNAcentral is "bacterial SSU rRNA". It matches the Rfam family "Bacterial small subunit ribosomal RNA", at positions 12 to 737 of the family's 1533-position model. The record is from RNAcentral. Lineage: Bacteria; Pseudomonadati; Pseudomonadota; Gammaproteobacteria; Pseudomonadales; Pseudomonadaceae.